AAGGAUCAUUACCGAGUUUGGGUCCCCUGGGCCCCUCUCCAACCCUUGCCAAUAUUACCACGUUGCUUUGGUGGGCCCGUCUUCGACCGGACCACCGGGGGGGUUGUCUCCCCGGUCAGUGCCCGCCAACAGCCCCCAACACAUCCCGUCCAACCGUGACAUCUGAGCCCCAAACAAAUGAUAACCAAAACUUUCAACAACGGAUCUCUUGGUUCUGGCAUCGAUGAAGAACGCAGCGAAAUGCGAUAAGUAAUGCGAAUUGCAGAAUUCCGUGAGUCAUCGAAUCUUUGAACGCACAUUGCGCCCUUUGGUAUUCCAAAGGGCAUGCCUGUCCGAGCGUCAUUGUCCACCCUCAAGCCCGGCUUGCCAUUGGGUUGCGUUGGGGCGUCGACCUCAACGGACCUUAAAAAGGAUUGGCAGAGCCUACAAGGGUCCCGGACGCAGCGAGCUCUCCAGCACGCGUCGCGGGGAUCCCUUCGGGCUUGGCCUUAACCGACGAUUUUUCUCGUUGACCUCGGAUCAGGCAGGGAUACCCGCUGAACUUAA
This 546-nucleotide ribosomal RNA is filed under the name uncultured fungus. RNAcentral describes it as "eukaryotic LSU rRNA". The stretch from base 189 to 342 matches the Rfam family "5.8S ribosomal RNA". Lineage: Eukaryota; Fungi. The record is from RNAcentral.